AUGGCUCCGCCGCCGCCGCCUAAGACCGCAGCCCCGCCCCCGGCAGUCCGGCACCUCUCCUCUCCCGGCGGCCCUCCUUCACCGCAGUCUCCUCUACUCGGCCAUGUCCGCCCAAGUCUCCUCCCCCUUGUUGCACCUAUCAGCGGCGACCGCGAUGCCCGUCGACCACCAACAGCCGCCCAAGUUAUCUAUGGGUUCUCUAAGGGACUGGCCUGGGUCCUCUGCUUUCGGCCGGUGUCGGUGCAAGCUGAAACUCAUUCGUGGCAGGGAGGAGCAGAUCAAGGCCUUCCAAUAGGCGCAGGAUCAAGUCAUGAAACUUGCAUCAUCUUUACAUCACCAUGUAGUUGGGUGUAA
Molecule: ribosomal RNA, 354 nt
Filed under: Triticum aestivum (bread wheat)
Lineage: Eukaryota; Viridiplantae; Streptophyta; Magnoliopsida; Poales; Poaceae
Description: partial small subunit ribosomal RNA
Source: RNAcentral